This is a long non-coding RNA of Talpa occidentalis (Iberian mole), 1041 nucleotides long. RefSeq lists it as uncharacterized. The record is from RefSeq and is a predicted model, not a curated record. NCBI's taxonomy places the organism in Eukaryota, Metazoa, Chordata, Mammalia, Eulipotyphla, Talpidae. The transcript is spliced from 3 exons.
CUGAGCAGAGCUGAAUCACUACCUUGCUGGCAUACUAUAAACUGUUGCCUGCGAAAAAGGAACUGGGGACUUAACUAUUCAGGCUGCUUCCAUUCAAGUGUUCCAGAGGGUAUAUACACCUCCAGACUUCUCUUGGCUCUUUGGAGUUUAUAAGGAGCACGCAUCUGAAACUGAACUCUAACUAUAUUCCAGAGAUGUUCCUGAACAAGUUGCCUGUUGGUGCAAGCUGCAAAUGGGAGACUUAAAGGCCAAGCCCAUUCAUCCUAUGAGCCAGGGAAGGAAAGUCAAUCUGUUGAACAACCUUGAGAAUCAAAUCUUCUGAGCCUAGACCUCCUGCUGCCAGCAUGUCUAAGACAUCUUCCGUCUGAAAAUUGCCAGGUCUGAGAAUAAUUUCCCUCCAGCGCACUGUGAGGGACAGCCACAGAGCUGUAGAAAACACAUCUAGAUUUCCAACCCUCAAGGUGUGCCACCUGAGCAAGCUCCAUCCUUAGGGAAGAUUCAGAAAGACACAUCAUAAGGGGUGAAAACUCAGAUAUGCUGAACCUGAAAUAUACAAAAACCUUUAGAAAAUCUCCUAACAGAGGAACCCAAUUAAAUCUAUGCAAUUGGUGAAACAAAAGUACUUAGAUGAGCUACAGGUAAAACAGAGCCCUUUCUCCCUUAACCAAAACAGAGUAGAAAUUUGAUUUAAUAGUUGGAGAAAUUCUUGUCCCCAUACCAGUAUUAUAAGACAGUUUCCCCAUUUUUAUUUUAAUCAGUAUCAGAGUAGCACUGUGGAAACCAAAAUAUUUAUUUUUUUUUGUAAAAAAUGAUUAAGAUGUUCAAAUAAAGCCUAUAGGUUAGGGCGGUUCUGUGCUGGAGGACAGAGUGGGUGGGGCCAUUGCCAAAUUAGAACAUUACGAUUUUCUUGCUUGUGUACUUGGUUCUGACCCCGAUUGCCUUGUAUGAGAUUGUUAGAACACCUCCUACACUUUCAGAGACAUUCUACCUGACUGUGGAAUGCCUCAAGGGCAAUAAAAUAUUAAGUAGAAGAGGUACCAA